AGUUACUGAGGGAAUAUGUGAGAGGCAGUUCCUGUCAGGACAGUAAUUGUUACAUCACAGAAGAAGCUAGGGCUCUCCUAGUUACAACAAAUUUGUCAUGGAGGUCCUAUUUAUGAUGUCACUGAGAACGGCCAUCUCCUACAUGCUAAACAGCUUUCCUUACAUUUACCAGAUUCGAAGGUGUCCUUUCCAGUUCAAGGUAAACUGGAGGUUCACUUGGGAUGCAAUGAAGAGCCCCUGACAAGCAUAUUCUUCAAAGCCUCCCAUGGUGUAACUGAAGAUACGAUAUGUGAAGUAGCCCUAGCUUGCCUGCUCAAGGAGGGACAUCAGAAUGAUACCUUUUGCUCCAGUUGUUCUCAAAUUCACAUCUUCUGUCCAUGGGAUCUGUAAUGUCACCAUUUCAUAGAAGAACUUCAGUGUCUCUCCUUUCCCUAUGGGAGCAUCAACACUCCACAUCUACUCACAAGUAUUUCACCUUUUUUCUCUGUAUAGUGGACAAGAGCACUUUCACCAAAGGCCCACAUUGGCCUGAAAUAUCUUCUUUUGCCCAAGGCGUACUCAUGCCUGCACUCUCUUGUGGCCAUCAUUAGCACUUCUUCUCUUGAUUUUGUGAGCCUGCUAUAUCCCAACUGUUUAGGAUUACAUACAAACUUAUUUCUGCUACAUGUAUUCUGAGACAUUCCUCCAUGGAAGGAAGGGGUGUUGAUCUUUUCUUGUCUGACAAAAGUCUUCAAAGCCCAAAGACAACUGCUGGAAUGAAAUGCAACCUAUAGGACUGAUGGAAGAAUUGCUACCUGGACUUUCAAAUGCCAUGAAAAUAUAUGGACAUUCUAAAUACUGAUAAAGAAUAGGAAGCUGAUCAAGCAAUACUGGAUCUUCCUCUGCUCCACGAGAGGUGUCCUUUCACAUGCAGAGGAAUGUGUAGAUGGACAUAUAUUUGAAUAAGAUACUGAACCUAAGACUACUGCAUUAGAGCCUCGUACAAGACUUCUAAGACUGUUGACUGCCUACCAUGGAUAUUCAGGCAUCUGCAGAUACUACCUUUUGAGGAAUGAAUCCUUCUCAGGAGACAAUAGACGGAACCUGCACUUCAAUGAUAAUUAAAUGGCACUUCAAGAUAUCAAAUCAAAAUAUCAAAGUGAGAAUGGAAUAAAUUUAUUAGUACAGUGUUUUGCAAACAACUUCUUUCACAAACAGCCUUGGAAGGAGAAUUCUGAAAUUUUGCAUUUCAUAUUUGACUUUGCUGGUACUCUGAAAAAAAUCAACUCACAACUGUUUGGGGCUUUAUGGGCAAUAAAAUACUACAAACAGA
This is a non-coding RNA of Rattus norvegicus (Norway rat), 1312 nucleotides long. NCBI's taxonomy places the organism in Eukaryota, Metazoa, Chordata, Mammalia, Rodentia, Muridae. The record is from RefSeq and is a predicted model, not a curated record.